UCCUACGGGGGGCAGCAGUGAGGAAUAUUGGUCAAUGGGAGAGAUCCUGAACCAGCCAAGCCGCGUGAGGGAAGACGGCCCUAUGGGUUGUAAACCUCUUUUGUCGGAGAACAAAACCCGGGACGUGUCCCGGACUGCGUGUAUCCGAAGAAAAAGCAUCGGCUAACUCCGUGCCAGCAGCCGCGGUAAUACGGAGGAUGCGAGCGUUAUCCGGAUUUAUUGGGCGUAAAGCGAGUGCAGGCGGUUCAAUAAGUCUGAU
RNAcentral lists this ribosomal RNA (259 nucleotides) under uncultured bacterium. RNAcentral's name for it is "partial 16S ribosomal RNA". It matches the Rfam family "Bacterial small subunit ribosomal RNA", at positions 337 to 593 of the family's 1533-position model. The record is from RNAcentral.